UACAGCUUCAAACCACCAAGAACUAUCCAAAUCCAGUGACUGAAGAGUGUAAUGGCGCUUCCGAGAGCAUGUUUGGCGAAGAUUUUGUCACAUUGUAAUCCAAUGUUUCUCUCCCUCUCACCUCUUACCCUGCACCACCCCAACCACCUCUCUCUUCAUACAACACACUCUUGCUCACUCUCUGCGUCCCUUUCCACUUCGUCACUCGAGCCUCACUCUCGCUGGAAACCCACGUGCUUGUACCACUCCCAGGGAAAGUGCACCAAGAUGGAUGAUCCUAUCCACCUGGAGACGUUUAAUCAUGAUUGCUCCAAUGAGCUUCAAGUGAACAUUGCUGAGUUGAACAAAAUACACCCUCAGGAUCUGGACUUUUUCCUUGUGCUUGAUUUAGAGGGUAGGGUUGAGAUUCUUGAGUUUCCAGUUCUAAUGAUUAGUGCAAAAACAUUGCAAGUUGAAGACAUUUUCCACAGGUUUGUGAAGCCCUCAAAAAUGAGUGAACGAAAAAUAAACGAAUACAUUCAAGGGAAGUAUGGAAAAUUUGGAGUUCACAGAGUUUGGCAUGACACAGCCAUACCAUUUACGGAAGUUAUUCAACAAUUUGGAACUUGGUUGAUGCGACAUCAAUUGUGGAUGGGCGAGGAACUUAAUCGAGCAGCAUUUGUAACAUGUGGAAAUUGGGAUUUGAAAACAAAGGUCCCUCAGCAAUGUGAAGUGUCAAAGAUAAAGCUUCCUCCAUAUUUUAUGGAGUGGAUUAAUCUCAAAGAUGUCUAUCUGAACUUUUAUAAUAGGAGGGCCACAGGAAUGGUUACAAUGAUGAAGGAACUGCAAAUACCAUUGGUGGGAAGUCAUCAUCUUGGCAUUGAUGACGCUAAGAACAUAGCUAGAGUAUUGCAGCACAUGCUUCUUGAUGGUGCACACAUCCAGAUUACUGCAAGGAGGAAUCCAAGGACCCCUCGAGAUGUCAACUUUCUUUUCAAGAACCGUAUUGGAUAGUGUCUAUUAAUUCUUUGAAUCCAAUCGGAUUAGAGAUGAACUAAGAAACAGAUUUUAGAAAAAGGAUAUCUUGAGCAAUUUCAGUAGGUUCAUAUAUAUCAUCAGUGUUGGAGGCAAAAAAAGGAAGAAAGUGGAGAAAAAUAUCUUAGAUGGAUUGAGAAAUUGUGCAGUGUGAUGCACACUAAGUUUAGAGAAAGUGCACAAUCCUUAGGUUUGCUUCCAAAUGGGCCCUUGUAGUAAGUAUAAACAAGCAUUGAUGGGUUACAGAAGAAAGGUGACAAUAAACAAACUCCCUCAAAGCACAAUAAAAACCCUAAGAAGAAAGGUGACACGCUGGUGGAGUAUCUACUUAGGUGUGUUACAGAAGGCACAGAUAGAGAGCUUGGAAGAAGGAAAAUCUAAUUUCGAUGGGUUUUUUUUUUUUGGUUCGUCCCUGGAGUAUCCACCGCCGACAGCAGUGACUAAUCUCCUCGCUAUGUUGGAGGCACCUCAAAGGGUGGGAUAGCUGGCCCCAAGAUUUAACGCGGUUGCAUACAUAAGGCAGGAUUAAUUUCGAUGGGUUUGUAAGAAGGAAAGAAGGUAAAAUAAUUUUAGCAAUUUUGAUGUAUUCGUAAGAGGGAAAGCUAAAGUAUAAUUGAGAGGGGAAAAAAAAUAAAAAUUAUA
Molecule: RNA transcript, 1656 nt
Organism: Cajanus cajan (pigeon pea)
Lineage: Eukaryota; Viridiplantae; Streptophyta; Magnoliopsida; Fabales; Fabaceae
Gene name: Polynucleotidyl transferase, ribonuclease H-like superfamily protein
Source: RefSeq, a predicted model, not a curated record